RNAcentral lists this ribosomal RNA (200 nucleotides) under uncultured bacterium. RNAcentral's name for it is "partial 16S ribosomal RNA". It matches the Rfam family "Bacterial small subunit ribosomal RNA", at positions 28 to 231 of the family's 1533-position model. The record is from RNAcentral.
GACGAACGCUGGCGGCGUGCUUAACACAUGCAAGUCGAACGAUGAACCACUUCGGUGGGGAUUAGUGGCGAACGGGUGAGUAACACGUGGGCAAUCUGCCCUGCACUCUGGGACAAGCCCUGGAAACGGGGUCUAAUACCGGAUACUGAUCCGCCUGGGCAUCCAGGCGGUUCGAAAGCUCCGGCGGUGCAGGAUGAGCC